AAUGUUUUAUUAACGUAUGUUGUGUAUUUGAAUCUGACCUCAUGUCCCAUUAUGGUCUUUAACGUCCCCUCGUCCACUUCCCCUCCAAAGUGCGCACUCCACCUCAGGAGCAACAACAAUGUACAGCUACAUGUAAUACCGCUAACGUUAGCUAGCUUAGCAUUAGCCAGUUAGAUUAAUGCUAGUAAACUAUCUCACGUUAGCCACACGAGUGGCUUUUCAGUAUCACAGUCUCGAUCCUCAUUUAAGCACAGAUUUAGCUAGCCUAGCAUGCACGUUUAUGGCUAGCACAUCAUCAUCCUGUACUCUCUAUUUAGUGACAUCACACACUUAGCUCAUACGUGGCUCAUAUUUUUAUUGAGAUAUUCUGUUUUAAGUAAACAUGAAUUUAGCAAAAAAAAAUUUCUGAUUAUCCUCACAGUGAAGUUUAAACACUCUGACAAGCUAGCUAGCUAAUUUAGCUUUAGCUACUCCCUCAAAGCUACCUACCUAGCGCUGCUCCGUAUUUUAGCGCUAGCUGUGUGUUUAGUUAGUCUACUACUUAGCAUAAUCAGCUAUCUAUAGUUAAUACCUGUUAGCUAGCCUGUUAGGUAUUUAUGUUUAGCUGAAAUAAUCCUCAGUUUAAUUAUAAACAAUUUUAAUCUAUUUAGCUUUAGCUAAUUUUUGCUGAUUGUAAUUGUUUUAGGACACCACGUGGGUGUUUCAUCCAAUAGAACGGUGUCUGUGCCUUCAGGGGGGGCGGACACGUCCUCCACACUGGAGCUCUACCUCGCUAGCAUGCUAACUAGCUUGAUGGGUAACUCAUGAAAUAUGAUGAUAAUGUAGUUAACCAGUUUCUGUGGUGAAAUCAAAUGUUACUUAAAAAAGUAUUUAAUUGCGCAUGUUUAUGUUUAUGAAAAGCUACAGCCGCCAUCUCGGAAAGGAAACCUCCUCUUACCCGACACCCCCUACUUCCUGUUACAAGCACCAGAGUGCAUUAUGGGUAUUUGGCCUGGUUUGAACUGUGUACAUUAGUGCGCUACUUUGCUCAUGACCUCAAAACUCACUAAGUAGUGAAUAGGGUUGUUUUUUUGGACUUAUGCAGCAGUGCAUUCUGGGUAAUUUGGGCUUGUGUAAGGAACAAAGUAGCAGUUAAGAUGGUGGACAGACAGACAGACAGUGAGUCAGACAGACAGAGUGUGCCGCAGUAAGGGGGAGUGUAUGAGGGAGUAUUAAAGCCCUGAUUUGGGACGAGGCCGGUGUGUUACUCCUCUCAUGCGAAACCGUACAGACCUCAGGAAAACCACGAGAACCUCCACAGAGAACACUUUUAUACGUCCAAGUUUUUUUCAGCGCAGAAAGCGUUUAUAACUUUUAAUAAUGGUGUGCACAUGAAUAUUAAUGAGGAUGGUAUUUUUAUGGACGAGGGUUUUAGAGUUUAGAGUCUUAAUGGCGCUUUAAUUACACGCAGAAAAAAAAAUCGACGCUUCUUGGUGUGUUUGUGUUUGUUCUUAAUCGCAACAUGAAUGUGCAACUCUCUUUUUAUUACCAUAUAUAUAUAUAUAUAUAUUGUAUUGAGAUAUUACAGGCUUCAGUCUCAGUUACCCAGCAUGCCUCGAGUGUAAACCUGCAUGGAACCUCAUUAAAGAUUAUUAAUGAU
This is a long non-coding RNA of Ictalurus punctatus (channel catfish), 1639 nucleotides long. The record is from Ensembl. NCBI's taxonomy places the organism in Eukaryota, Metazoa, Chordata, Actinopteri, Siluriformes, Ictaluridae.